CCUACGGGUGGCAGCAGUCGAGAAUCAUUCACAAUGGGGGAAACCCUGAUGGUGUGACGCCGCGUGGGGGAAUGAAGGUCUUCGGAUUGUAAACCCCUGUCAUGUGGGAGCAAAUUAAAAAGAUAGUACCACAAGAGGAAGAGACGGCUAACUCUGUGCCAGCAGCCGCGGUAAUACAGAGGUCUCAAGCGUUGUUCGGAAUCCCUGGGCGUAAAGCGUGCGUAGGCUGUUUCGUAAGUCGUGUGUGAAAGGCGCGGGCUCAACCCGCGGACGGCACAUGAUACUGCGAGACUAGAGUAAGGGAGGGGGAACCGGAAGUCUCGGUGUAGCAGUGAAAUGCGUAGAUAUCGAGAGGAACACUCGUGGCGAAGGCGGGUUCCUGGACAUUAACUGACGCUGAGGCACGAAGGCCAGGGGAGCGAAAGGGAUUAGAUACCCGGGUAGUC
This 446-nucleotide ribosomal RNA is filed under the name uncultured bacterium. RNAcentral's name for it is "partial 16S ribosomal RNA". It matches the Rfam family "Bacterial small subunit ribosomal RNA", at positions 338 to 795 of the family's 1533-position model. The record is from RNAcentral.